This 167-nucleotide ribosomal RNA is filed under the name Ceratobasidium sp. Its description in RNAcentral is "partial large subunit ribosomal RNA". It matches the Rfam family "Eukaryotic large subunit ribosomal RNA", at positions 99 to 261 of the family's 3401-position model. Lineage: Eukaryota; Fungi; Basidiomycota; Agaricomycetes; Cantharellales; Ceratobasidiaceae. The record is from RNAcentral.
CGGGAAGAGCUCAAAUUUAAAAUCUGGCGGUUUCACCGUCCGAGUUGUAGUCUAGAGAAGCAUCAUCUACGCUGGACCAUGUACAAGUCUCUUGGAACAGAGCGUCAUAGAGGGUGAGAAUCCCGUCCUUGACAUGGACUCCCAGUGUUCUGUGUUGUGCUCUCAAC